Molecule: small nuclear RNA, 103 nt
Organism: Neogale vison (American mink)
Lineage: Eukaryota; Metazoa; Chordata; Mammalia; Carnivora; Mustelidae
Source: Ensembl
GUGCCCGCUUCAGCAGCACAUGUACUAAAAUUAGAAUACAGAGAAGAUUAGCAUAGCUCUGGGCAAGGAUAACACACAAAUUCACAAAGUGUUCCAUAUUUCU